This 424-nucleotide ribosomal RNA is filed under the name uncultured Planctomycetaceae bacterium. RNAcentral describes it as "bacterial SSU rRNA". It matches the Rfam family "Bacterial small subunit ribosomal RNA", at positions 353 to 772 of the family's 1533-position model. The record is from RNAcentral. Lineage: Bacteria; Pseudomonadati; Planctomycetota; Planctomycetia; Planctomycetales; Planctomycetaceae.
AGUCGAGAAUCUUCGGCAAUGAGCGCAAGCUUGACCGAGCGACGCCGCGUGCGGGAUGAAGGCCUUCGGGUUGUAAACCGCUUUCGGUUGGGAGGAAAUCGCUAGGGGUUCUCCCCUAGUGUUGACCUAUCUUCGGAAGAAGGACGGGCUAAGUUCGUGCCAGCAGCCGCGGUAAUACGAACCGUCCAAACGUUAUUCGGAUUCAUUGGGCUUAAAGGGUACGUAGGCGGCGCUUCAAGUCGGGUGUGAAAUCCCUCGGCUCAACCGAGGAACUGCGCCCGAUACUGGAGUGCUUGAGGGAGACAGAGGUAAGCGGAACUGAUGGUGGAGCGGUGAAAUGCGUUGAUAUCAUCAGGAACACCAGUGGCGAAAGCGGCUUACUGGGUCUCUUCUGACGCUGAGGUACGAAAGCUAGGGGAGCGAA